AGAGUUUGAUUAUGGCUCAGGACGAACGCUGGCGGCGUGCUUAACACAUGCAAGUCGAGCGGUAAGGCCCUUUUGGGGGUACACGAGCGGCGAACGGGUGAGUAACACGUGGGUGACCUGCCCUUAGCUCUGGGAUAAGCCUGGGAAACUGGGUCUAAUACUGGAUAUGACUCCAUGUCGCAUGGUGUGGGGUGGAAAGCCUUGUGCGGCUAGGGAUGGGCCCGCGGCCUAUCAGCUUGUUGGUGGGGUGAUGGCCUACCAAGGCGACGACGGGUAGCCGGCCUGAGAGGGCGAUCGGCCACACUGGGACUGAGACACGGCCCAGACUCCUACGGGAGGCAGCAGUGGGGAAUUUUGCGCAAUGGGCGGAAGCCUGACGCAGCGACGCCGCGUGAGGGAUGACGGCCUUCGGGUUGUAAACCUCUUUCAGCCCUGACGAAGCCCUCUUGGGGGUGACGGUAGGGGUAGAAGAAGCACCGGCCAACUACGUGCCAGCAGCCGCGGUAAUACGUAGGGUGCAAGCGUUGUCCGGAAUUAUUGGGCGUAAAGAGCUCGUAGGCGGUCUGUCGCGUCGGCUGUGAAAUCCCGGGGCUCAACUCCGGGCUUGCGGUCGAUACGGGCAGGCUGGAGUUCGGCAGGGGAGACUGGAAUUCCUGGUGUAGCGGUGAAAUGCGCAGAUAUCAGGAGGAACACCGGUGGCGAAGGCGGGUCUCUGGGCCGAUACUGACGCUGAGGAGCGAAAGCGUGGGGAGCGAACAGGAUUAGAUACCCUGGUAGUCCACGCCGUAAACGUUGGGCGCUAGGUGUGGGAUCCCUUCCACGGGUUCCGUGCCGCAGCUAACGCAUUAAGCGCCCCGCCUGGGGGAGUACGGGCCGCAAGGCUAAAACUCAAAUGAAAUUGGACGGGG
RNAcentral lists this ribosomal RNA (908 nucleotides) under uncultured Actinomycetes bacterium. RNAcentral describes it as "bacterial SSU rRNA". It matches the Rfam family "Bacterial small subunit ribosomal RNA", at positions 8 to 918 of the family's 1533-position model. Lineage: Bacteria; Bacillati; Actinomycetota; Actinomycetes. The record is from RNAcentral.